Ornithodoros turicata is the source of this 782-nucleotide long non-coding RNA. RefSeq lists it as uncharacterized. The transcript has 3 exons. The record is from RefSeq and is a predicted model, not a curated record. Lineage: Eukaryota; Metazoa; Arthropoda; Arachnida; Ixodida; Argasidae.
AUUGCUUAGUCUAGGAGCACACUUAUCUGAUUUGGAUGAGCUGUGUCUUGGGUUGCUUUCAGUCAGGCAGAUGAUGUGUAGUGGCCGUGACUCACAUUUUCAAAUAGGGUAUUGACCUUUGCUGCUGCAAUUAUGCCAAUUUGAAACUGUGGCUGCACUUUUGGUUAUAUAAGGGCUUCAUUGUUGCUCUCUUGUCUCCAGGGCUGACAUACUUUGUUAAUACUUGCAUUCGUUCGCAGCUGCUUCUGGAAUUCAGCCUUCUGUGGAAGGUGGACCUUGCAACAGCAUUCGAGAACGCGUUCCUGAGCCUGACAAACAUAAUCUUGCAGCAUGGAGAGGCAAGUGAGGUCGUUACACUGUCUGCAAGCUCUACUGGUAAUGCAGUACUGAGGGCACUUGAGGUCAUUGCGCAGAGGUGUAAGGAAAAGCUGAGCAACAUCGUUUCCAGGGACGUUCCAACACUGACGCCUUGCGUCGUUAUGGAAAACGAGGUGGUGAAGGUCUUCGUGGACAAACAAGAGCUAUUUGUAGCGUCCUCAUUUCUCAGCGGUGUGUGCUGCCUAUUUGCAGCAUUUUGGGUGUUCCAUAUAGAAUACCCAUUGGGAUCCCACAAGAUGCUCACAUUUCUCGAGCACGCCUUCGCAGGGCUGAGUGAAACAAAGCCCAGAGUAAAAGCAAUGGAGUUCCUGAAAUUCUACAUCCUACACGGUGGACGAGAUUAUCAACCCAACGAGAAAUAACUUCAGUUCCUGGCUCUUAGAAAUGUUUGCAAUAAAAUACUG